UCCAGGGUAGCCUAGUGGACAUGGCAUCUGCCCGGUAAGCGGAACACAGUGGGUUCGAUUCCCAUCUCUGGAC
This 73-nucleotide transfer RNA is filed under the name Cordylochernes scorpioides. RNAcentral's name for it is "tRNA-Thr". It matches the Rfam family "tRNA". Rfam says of the family: Transfer RNA (tRNA) molecules are approximately 80 nucleotides in length. The record is from RNAcentral. Lineage: Eukaryota; Metazoa; Arthropoda; Arachnida; Pseudoscorpiones; Chernetidae.